UGCCUUGUAGCCCAACGGUAGGGCGCUCGCUUCUGGAGCGAGAAGUCUUGGUUCGAGUCCAAGCGAGGCAACCA
This 74-nucleotide transfer RNA is filed under the name Amycolatopsis rifamycinica. RNAcentral describes it as "tRNA-Gln". It matches the Rfam family "tRNA". From Rfam's summary of the family: Transfer RNA (tRNA) molecules are approximately 80 nucleotides in length. Their secondary structure includes four short double-helical elements and three loops (D, anti-codon, and T loops). The record is from RNAcentral. Lineage: Bacteria; Bacillati; Actinomycetota; Actinomycetes; Pseudonocardiales; Pseudonocardiaceae.